This 230-nucleotide unclassified non-coding RNA is filed under the name Hevea brasiliensis (rubber tree). Lineage: Eukaryota; Viridiplantae; Streptophyta; Magnoliopsida; Malpighiales; Euphorbiaceae. The record is from RNAcentral.
GUGAAAUGUGAAUCAUUCAUUUCUCUUAAUGCUAGGCUCAUUCUAAUGGCACAUGAUUCUCGUUAGAAUUUUGAAGGGUUGCUUUGUUUCUGUGAAGGCUUUUGUCUUCAUCCUAAUCCUAUGCCCCUUUUCAAGCCUUUUUGCUAGAUAGGUGCAAUUUUUAUGGGAGUUACCUUGAAGCAAACGCACUUGAUGUUGAAUUAUUGUUAUCUUUAGGUGUUUGCAGAUGA